Molecule: long non-coding RNA, 8146 nt
Filed under: Pelobates cultripes (western spadefoot toad)
Lineage: Eukaryota; Metazoa; Chordata; Amphibia; Anura; Pelobatidae
Source: RNAcentral
CUUGAAACUAAGGCAUCUCAUACUAUAAUCGGAGUUGAAAUGGAUAUUCCAUCAAAUGACAAUGAUGCAGCGCCAACAAAAAAAGAAUUCCAAAGAGAAACAGAAAUUGAGGGACUGAAAUACCUAGUGCAUAGAUCUGAUGAACAAAACUAUGAAUCUGAAGUCAAUUCAAAGAAUUAUGCAGUGAGCAAUGCUCCCUUAUCAGACAUAGAUUAUUUUAAAGAUGCCAAGAAAGACUCUUCAUCCAAUUUAAACAUGUUGAACAUACUUUUCCCUCAUACCAACAUACUAGAGGAUAGUUCGGGAGUGAGACUAAAUGGAGAAAGUAUGUCCAAGGAUAUAAUUUCCCUUACUUCAGGUACUACUAAUAUGCUUAAUAUGUUAUCAACUUUUUUUGUGUAUGUUGCAAUAUGAGUGGUUUCAAUUUCAGUAUUCAAUAUGUUUGUGUGUUACAUAACUGAGGACUUUUAUAAAACAGUCACUUCAGUUAACACUUUUGUUAAUAGUUCUUGUUUCUAAGGAACACUAUAGUGUCAGGAAUACAAACAUGUAUUCCUAAUCCUACAGUGUUAACCCCUUAAGACCGGAGGGCGUACUAGUACGCCCUAUUUUAGGCGGCUCUAAACGCCGCCGGGCGUAAUAGUACGUCCUCAGGUCUUUCUUUACUUACCCGGUCGCCGGCGAUCGCGGUUGGGGGGACUCCCAGGAAGCCCCCCCCGUGGCACGUCCAACCCCCUGGCAGCCCACAUGGCCGGGAUAGCUGCCUGCUGUAUUGCCAGCAGGGGGGCUGCCUGUAAUGACAGGUGGUCCCCCGCUGGCUGGAAAUAAAAUAAAAUUGAAAAAAGUUAAAAAGUGUAAAAGAAAAAAUUAUUUAUAUAUAUAUAUAUAUAUACACACACACACACACAUAUAUAUAUAUAUAUAUAUAUAUAUAUAUAUAUAUAUAUACACACAUACAUACACUGUCUAGGUGUAUUUUACAUAUAUAUAUAUAUAUAUAUAUAUAUAUAUAUAUUAUUACACGUAGACUGAUAUUGAUUAAAUAUAUACAAUUAUUGUUAUAUAUUUAUUAUUAAAAAAAAAUAUGUAAAUACGUUAAAAAAUAAAUAAUUAAAAAAUAUAUAGAUGUGUGCUAUUUCGUUCUAACUGUAUUGUGAUAUUAAUAUAUAUUUAUAUCAAAAUACACGUAGAACUAAAUAAUAUAUAUAUACGUAUAUAUCACUAUAUAUACCUAUAUAUAAAUAAAAAAAAUUAUAUACACACACACAUACAUUAAUUCUACAUAUAUAUUUAUGUAAUAUUUUUACAUAAUUAGGUAUCUUAAUUAAUUACAAUUAGCGGGACCUGUCUGACAACCCAUGCCGAAAGUAAAGGGAAUUUAAUUUGCUAGCACUAUAUUUAACCCUAUAACUUUCCAAGACACCAUAAAACCUGUACAUUGGGGGUACUGUUCUACUUGGGAGACUUCGCUGAAUACAAAUAUUAGUGUUUCAAAACUGUAAAAUGUAUUACAAUGAUGAUAUCGCCAGUAAAAGUGAUGUUUUUUGCAUUUUUCACGCACAAAAAGCACUUACACGGACAAUAUUAUUGCUGCGAUACUUUUUACUGUUUUGAAACACAAAUAUUUGUGUUCAGCGAAGUCUCCCGAGUACAACAGGUACAGGUUUUAUGGUGUUUUCAAAAGUUACAGCGUCAAAUAUAAGGCUUGUGUUUCAUUUUUUUCACAUUAAAAUUUGCCAGAUUGGUUACGUUGCCUUUGAGACCCUAUGGUAGCCCAAGAAUGAAAAUUACCCCUGUGAUGGCAUACCGUUUACAAUAGUAGACAACCCAAGAUAUUGCAAACGGGGUAUGACCAGUCUUUUUUAGUAGCCACUUAGUCACAAACACUGGCCAAAAUUGGCAUUUUUCAUACACAAACAAAUACUAACGCUAACUUUGGCCAGUGUUUGUGACCAAAUGGUUACUAAAAAAAACUGGAUAUACCCCAUUUGCAAUACCUUGGGUUGUCUACUAUUGCAAAUGAUAUGCCAUUAUGGGUUUAAAUUUCAUUCCUGGGCUACAAUAAAGUCCCAAAGGCAACGUAACCAAUCUGGCGAAUUUCAAUUUGAAAUGUAACGUGCUAUAUUUGACCCUGUAACUUCCCAAAAUGCCAUAAAACCUGUACAUAGGGGGUACUGUUUUACAUGUGAGACUUUGCUGAAUACAAACAUGUAUAUUUUAUUGCAGUAAAAGCAAACAGUAUUAUGACAUUGACCGUUAAAACGUCAUGUAGAACAAAAAAAAAAAAAAUUCUUAUUUUUUUCAUAUUAAAUUAUGUUUCAUAGCUACAUAUUUGAUAUUAAAUGAAAGCCCUGUUUCCCCUGAAUAAAAUGAUAUACAGUGGCAAGAAAAAAGUAUGUGAACCCUUUGGAAUGAUAUGGAUUUCUGCACAAAUUGGUCAUAAAAUGUGAUCUGAUCAUCAUCUAAGUCACAACAAUAGACAAUCACAGUCUGCUUAAACUAAAAACACACAAAGAAUGAAAUGUUGCCAUGUUUCUAUUGAACACACCAUGUAAACAUUCACAGUGCAGAUGGAAAAAGUAUGUGAACCCCUGGAUUUAAUAACUGGUUGAACCUCCUUUGGCAACAAUAACUUCAACCAAACGUUUCCCGUAGUUGCAGAUCAGACAUGCACAAUGGUCAGGAGUAAUUCUUGACCAUUCCUCUUUACAGAACUGUUCCAGUUCAGCAAUAUUCUUGGGAUGUCUGGUGUGAGUCGCUUUCUUGAGGUCAUGCCACAGCAUCUCAAUCGGGUUGAGGUCAGGACUCUGACUGGGGCAUUUCAGAAGGCAUAUUUUCUUCUGUUUAAGCCAUUCUGUUGUUGAUUUUACUUCAAUGCUUUGGGUCAUUGUCCUGUUGCAACAUCCAUCUUUUGGUGAGCUUCAGCUGGUAGACAGAUGGCCUUAAGUUCUCCUGCAACCAACACCUCCAAUCUCAUCUCAUUGAUUGGACUCCAGUUGGCUGACAUCUCACUCCAAUUAGCUCUUGGAGAUGUCAUUAGUCUAGGGGUUCACAUACUUUUUCCACCUGCACUGUGAAUGUUUACAUGGUGUGUUCAAUAAAAACAUGGCAACAUUUCAUUCUUUGUGUGUUAUUGGUUUAAGCAGACUGUGAUGGUCUAUUGUUGUGACUUAGAUGAUGAUCAGAUGACAUUUUAUGACUAAUUUGUGCAGAAAUCCAUAUAAUUCCAAAGGGUUCACAUACUUUUUCUUGCAACUGUAGUUUAGGGAUUACUGGUUUAGUCUGUUUUAGUAUAAAAAAAAAUAAAAAUAAAAAAUUGGUGUUUAGUUAGUCUGUUAGUGUGAAACAUGCAGCGCAUGUACAGCUUGGAGGUGGCAUAUGCCUUCUUGGCAUCAGACUCUGACGCCACUGAUACUGCGUCCGAUUUUGACCCAGGUCAGUUUAGCGACAUGUCUAGUGACAUGUCAUCUGUGUGUGAGCCAGCUGCUAAAAGAAGCUGUGCUUCCCCUGCUACACUGAAUGUGGAGGAGGACUGGGUACCUCCACAGUCAGCUGAGCCCAACAUCCCGCCUUUUAGUGCCAACGCAGGCAUUAAUGUGAAUGUGGAUGACUUCUCCCAUAUACAAUAUAUGGAGUUAUUUUUAGGGGAUACCAUCUGGGAGGAGAUUGUUUCCCAGACUAAUUUAUACGCUAGCCAAUUUACUGAGACCAAUCCAGGUAGCUAUACAGUCAGGGAGCAUGCUUGGCAUCCCAGAGAUGUCCCUGAACUUAAAAUCUGGGCUCUUACAAUGCUCAUGGGGAUAAUAAAGAAGCUAUCAAUCCGCUCUUACUGGAGCACCAACCCAAUUUGUUCGACUCCUAUAUACUCCCAAACAAUGCCUAGACCAAGAUAUGAGCUGCUGCUGAGAUACUUACAUUUCAACGACAAUACCCUCUGUCAUCCCAGAGAUCACCCUCAACAUGAUAGGCUUCAUAAAAUACGCCCACUGGUCGACCAUCUUCAGAACAGAUUUUCUGAAGUUUAUACUUCCCAACAAAAUUUACCUAUUGAUGAAUAGUUAAUGAAAUAUAAAGGGAGAUUAGGAUUCAAACAAUACAUCCCCUCAAUGCACUCUAGGUAUGGCGUAAAAUUCUGCAAACUGUGUGAGAGCGAAAGUGGCUAUAAAUUUGCCUUUCGUGUAUAUGAGGGGAAAGAUGGUCAACUGGACCCUCCUGGCUGUCCUGACUUUCUGGGGACAAGUGGGAAACUUGUUUGGAACCUACUGAUCCCCUUGUUCAAUAAAGGUUACCACCUUUAUGAGGACAAUUUGUAUAGCAUUGUCCGUUUGUUUCAAACUCUUUAUGGUUUGCAGAUACUGGCCUGUGGCACUGUGAGAAGGAAUGUCAAGGAUUUCCCUAGACCUUUUAUAGAGGCCAAAUUAAAAAAAAAAGAAAAAGGUGAAUGUAAAGGUCUGCGCUAAAGUGCUUGCAAUAAAAUUUAAGGACAGGAAGGAUGUUAAUAUACUUACCACCAUCCAUGACGAAAGCAUGUCAGACCUCACUAUCCGAGGCAGAGUACAGACCAAACCUGUUUGCAUCAGGGCUUAUAACAGGCACAUGGGGGUGUUGAUUUGGCUGAUAAGCUGAUGCAGCCAUAUCUUAUCUUAAGAAAGACAAAAGCCUGGUAUAAAAAGGUGGCUAUCUACCUGUUGCAAGUAGCAACACAUAAUUAAUUUUUACUCUUUAAAAAAAUGAAUCCAGAUUAACACCGGAAAACGAAUGGGCUCUUGCACGAGCCACACCUUGUACAUUGCCUACUCCAUACCGUUGCAAAAUAAAGAAUUAUUUAAAAAAAAAAAAAAUGAAUCCAGAAAGAAUCACCUUUCUCCAAUUUCAGUUCAAGCUGAUUUCCACAAAAAUUUAUGGAGAUGGUCAAGUUCCUCUGGCACAUGUUUCAACGGUGCCAGAGGAGUCCAGACAUUUUAUUUUUAAGAUACUGCCAACUGCAAUAAAAAACAUCCCCUGAAACGCUGCCGGGUCUGUUAUAAAAAAGGGAAAAGGACAGACACCCCUUAGCACUGUUUUCUUCUUUUGAAAGCAGCAAUUUUUAGUCCGUUUCCUUCCCCCAAAUCUCCAGUUAGAUUAUUUUUGCAGGAGUUAGUUUAAAGAAUGCUGCUAAAUGUGCACUUGAUACCUGCACAUUUGGUUAAAAAUAUUUUAUGGCGGUAACACAUAACAGGCUGGCCAAAACCAGAUGACGUGUGCAUAAAAAAAAGCAGAAUUCAAAAAUUACCACCAUGCACGUUCUCUGAAAUUUGUUUAGCAAAAUGGUUGGGGGAAGGAUGUGAAAACACCCCAUAAACAAUACCCUGGAAUGUCUACUUUAUAAAAAUAUAAACUUUCAUAAUGUUAACAUUAAAGGACCACUAUAGGCACCCAGACCACUUCAGCUUAAUGAAGUGGUCUGGCUGCCUGGUCCAGGUAGGUUUAACCCUUUUUUUUUAUAAACAUAGUUUCAGAGAAACUGCUAUGUUUACCUAUGGGUUAAUCCAGCCUCUAGUGGCUGUCUCACUGACAGCCGCUAGAGGGCUUCUGCGCUUCUCACUGUGAAAAUCACUGCGACUGGCUGAAUGCGCAAGCAGCUCCUGCCGCGCGUGCACAUUCAGCCGAAGAGGAGGAGAGGAGGAGGUGAGCUCCCCGCCCGGCGCUGGAGAAGGAGGUAAGUUUAACUACUUCUUAACCCCAGAGCCCGGCGGGAGGGGGUCCCUGAGGGUGGGGGCACCCUCAGGGCACUAUAGUGCCAGGAAAACGAGUGUUUUCCUGGCACUAUAGUGGUCCUUUAACUGGGGGAUGCAAAAAUAUGCCAAACUGAAGAUAGGCCAAGCAUACCUAUAUAUCAAGUUGAAAAACUGAUAUGUACAAGUCUCGAUCGUGGCCUUUUAGCCCCCCAAACAACCCAGCAAACCUAUGCAUGGGUGAUAUCACUGUACUCAGGAGAUGUUGCUGAACACAUAUUGGGGUGUUGUUUGGCAGUGAUACAUAACAGGACCUGUUAAUUCAUGCCUAAAGUACAAUGUGUGUGUAAAAAAAAUAAAAAAAUAAAAUAAAAAUUACUACCCAAAAGUUUGCCAAAGGCUGGUGGUAGAACUAGUGCAUGAAAAGUGUUAAAAUACCACCAUUUGAAAUACCCUGGGUUGUCUACUUUUCAAAAAUAUAUGGUUUUAUGGGGGUAAAAUACAUUGGCCCAAAUAGGACAGGGGCGCAGGAUUAGUACAUGUCAAAAUUCCAAGUUGGAAAAUGGAUAUAUGCACCCUCCAAAUAAGGUCUUUUAACCUCCAGAGAACCAGACAAGCCUAUGCAUGGGUGGUAUCGCUGAACACAUAUUGGGGUGUUGUUUGGCAGUGAUACAUAACAGGACCUGUUAAUUCAUGCCUAAAGUACAAUGUGUGUGUGAAAAAAGAUACAAAAACAAUUACUACCUAAAGGUUUGACAAAGUCUGGUGGUAGAAUUAGUGCAUGGAAAAGUGUUAAAAUACCACUAUUUGAAAUACCCUAGGGUGUCUACUUUCCAAAAAAUAUAUGGUUUGGUGGGGAUAAAAUACAUUGGCCGGCCUUACAAAUGUCCCAAAUAGGACAUGUGCACAGGUUGACUACAUGUCAAAAUUCCAAGCUGGAAAAUGAAUAUGCACACCUGCCAAAUGUGGCCUUUUAGCCCCCAAACAACUCGACAAGCCUAUGCAUGGGUGGUAUCACUGUACUCGGGAGAUGUUGCUGAACAUGUGUUAGUGUGUUUUUUGGCAGCAACACAUAAUAGGAUCUGUGAGUUUAUACCUGAAUUGCAAUGUAUGUGAAAGAAAAAAAAAAUCUAUGUGAAGUUUGGCAAAGACUGGUGGUAAAAUGGCUGCAUAGAAAGUGUCAAAAUAUCCUUAGAUGAAUAUCCUGGGUUGUCUACUUUAAGAAAAUAUAUACAUGUGGGGUUUUCUAGAGAUUUAUGACAGACAAUAGUGUUAUAAUGUUACUACUGAUAAAGUUUAAAAGUGUAUGUUUUGAAACCACAAUCUCCUACUUGUACUUAUAGCCCUACAACUUGCAAAAAAAAAACAAACAACAUGUAAACACCGGGUAUUUUUAAACUCAGGACAAAAUUUUGAAUCUAUUUAGCAAGUUUUUUCAUUAGCUUUUGUAGAUGAGUAAAAGUAUUUCAAGUUAAAUUCAAAAAACACAUUUUUUUAAAUUUUGCAUAAUUUUUUUAAUUUUUUUAAAAUUAAAUUACAUGAGAUUAUAUAAAUAAUGGUAUGUAAAGAAAGCCCAUUUUGUCCUGAAAAAAAAACAAUAUAUAAUUUGUAUGGGAACAGUAAAUGAGAGAGCAGAAAAUUACCGCUAAAACACAAACACCACAAAAGUGUAAAAAGAGGCCUGGUCGCAAAUGUACAACAUCGCAAAAACAGUCCGGUCCUUAAGGGGUUAACAAACAAAAAGUUCGCCGUUUUUUCUAUGGGAAAAUAUUAUUUCCUAUAACCUCCCUAAACACACUCAACCUAAUGAAAUGAAACAUAACUCUUUAUUUGGUACACUGAUUAGGACUUACAAAUUAACAAGUUUGUGUCUGGAUCUUCAUCUCACUCAUUCAUUAUUUAUCCGGUCUACCCUAAAUUACAGGUUGACCCAAUCCCAAUAAUACCCUACCCCUCCCCCAUUUCUAACACAACCUAACUUUUACUUUAAUGCAACUGCUGGUGUAGUGUGUGAAAACUAAUCUUCUGAUCUGUAGCCCUAAUAAUAAUUCAUUUUAUUUUUAUUAGGUGGUUUGUCUAAUAAUUAAAUGCCUGGUGUGCACGAACUUCAUGAUUGUUCCUGCUUAUUAUCAAAGUGAACAUUUGGACUUGGCCUUGGUCUCUCUAAUAACAAACUGUUUAUGCAAGGAUAUUUUUGCCAAUUAAUAUUAGUGAGCAUACCAAAGGACAUUAUUUGACAUCCUUAUAGGUGGUAUUAACACAAUUUGAAAAAUGCUGCAUAUCAGCAGUUGAUUUAUUUGCUGCUAUGUUGAAACUAUGAUAAUGAUAUAAUAAUUCAGUAACCAAAAUACAAUUUCUCUAAAUGUUACAGAAUUCGAGCCACAUUACAGUAGUAUCCAUGAAGGUGAAGUAGGUUCAAGAAGAAGAGUAGA